GAAUAUUGCGCAAUGGAGGGAACUCUGACGCAGCGAGGCCGCGCGAGCGAUGAAGGUCUUCGGAUCGUAAAGCUCUGUCGUUGGGGAAGAAGGGAGCCGUAAGGCUUCUUGACGGUACACAUGGAGGAAGCCCCGGCUAACUACGUGCCAGCAGCCGCGGUAAUACGUAGGGGGCAAGCGUUGUCCGGAAUUAUUGGGCGUAAAGGGUGCGUAGGCGGCCCUUUAAGUCAGAUGUGAAAGCCCACGGCUUAACCGUGGGACUGCAUUUGAAACUGGAGGGCUUGAGUGUCGGAGAGGGCAGUGGAAUUCCCAGUGUAGCGGUGGAAUGCGUAGAUAUUGGGAGGAACACCAGUGGCGAAGGCGACUGCCUGGACGAUAACUGACGCUGAGGCACGAAAGCUAGGGGAGCAAAC
Molecule: ribosomal RNA, 413 nt
Filed under: uncultured bacterium
Lineage: Bacteria
Description: partial 16S ribosomal RNA
Rfam family: Bacterial small subunit ribosomal RNA
Source: RNAcentral